Molecule: ribosomal RNA, 489 nt
Filed under: uncultured bacterium
Lineage: Bacteria
Description: partial 16S ribosomal RNA
Rfam family: Bacterial small subunit ribosomal RNA
Source: RNAcentral
AUUGAACGCUGGCGGCAGGCCUAACACAUGCAAGUCGAACGGUAACAGGAAGAAGCUUGCUUCUUUGCUGACGAGUGGCGGACGGGUGAGUAAUGUCUGGGAAACUGCCUGAUGGAGGGGGAUAACUACUGGAAACGGUAGCUAAUACCGCAUAACGUCGCAAGACCAAAGAGGGGGACCUUCGGGCCUCUUGCCAUCGGAUGUGCCCAGAUGGGAUUAGCUAGUAGGUGGGGUAACGGCUCACCUAGGCGGCGAUCCCUAGCUGGUCUGAGAGGAUUACCAGGCAAACUGGAACCUAGACACGGGCCCGGCUCCCAAGGGGGGCAGCAGGGGGGAAUAUUGCACAAUGGGGGCAAGCCUGAUGCAGCCAUGCCGCGUGCAUGAAGAAGGCCUUCGGGUUGUAAAGUACUUUCAGCGGGGAGGAAGGGAGUAAAGUUAAUACCUUUACUCAUUGACGUUACCCGCAGAAGAAGCACCGGCUAACUCCGU